GACGAACGCUGGCGGCGUGCUUAACACAUGCAAGUCGAACGGCAAGGCUCCAGCUUGCUGGUGUACUCGAGUGGCGAACGGGUGAGUAACACGUGGGUAAUCUGCCCUGUACUCUGGGAUAAGCCUGGGAAACUGGGUCUAAUACCGGAUAUGACCUUUCUCCUUAUGGGGUUUGUUGGAAAGUUUUUCGGUGUUGGAUGGGCCCGCGGCCUAUCCGCUUGUUGGUGGGGUUAUUGCCUACCAAGGCUACGACGGGUAGGCCGCCUGGGAGGGUGAACGGGCACAUUGGGACUGAGAGACGGCGCAGAAGCGUACGGGAGGCAGCAGGGGGGAAUAUUGCACAAUGGGCGGAAGCCUGAUGCAGCGACGCCGCGUGAGGGAUGACGGCCUUCGGGUUGUAAACCUCUUUCAGCGGGGACGAAGCGUAAGUGACGGUACCUGAAGAAGAAGCACCGGCUAACUACGUG
Molecule: ribosomal RNA, 467 nt
Filed under: uncultured bacterium
Lineage: Bacteria
Description: partial 16S ribosomal RNA
Rfam family: Bacterial small subunit ribosomal RNA
Source: RNAcentral